UACGUAGGGUGCAAGCGUUGUCCGGAAUUAUUGGGCGUAAAGCGCACGUAGGCGGACUGGAAAGUUGGAGGUGAAAUCCCAGGGCUCAACCCUGGAACUGCCUUCAAAACUCCCAGUCUUGAGUUCGAGAGAGGUGAGUGGAAUUCCGAGUGUAGAGGUGAAAUUCGUAGAUAUUCGGAGGAACACCAGUGGCGAAGGCGGCUCACUGGCUCGAUACUGACGCUGAGGUGCGAAAGCGUGGGGAGCAAACAGG
RNAcentral lists this ribosomal RNA (253 nucleotides) under uncultured bacterium. Its description in RNAcentral is "partial 16S ribosomal RNA". It matches the Rfam family "Bacterial small subunit ribosomal RNA", at positions 524 to 776 of the family's 1533-position model. The record is from RNAcentral.